Molecule: ribosomal RNA, 497 nt
Filed under: uncultured bacterium
Lineage: Bacteria
Description: partial 16S ribosomal RNA
Rfam family: Bacterial small subunit ribosomal RNA
Source: RNAcentral
GAUGAACGCUGGCGGCGUGCCUAAUACAUGCAAGCCGAGCGAACGGACGAGAAGCUUGCUUCUCUGAUGUUAGCGGCGGACGGGUGAGUAACACGUGGAUAACCUACCUAUAAGACUGGGAUAACUUCGGGAAACCGGAGCUAAUACCGGAUAAUAUUUUGAACCGCAUGGUUCAAAAGUGAAAGACGGUCUUGCUGUCACUUAUAGAUGGAUCCGCGCUGCAUUAGCUAGUUGGUAAGGUAACGGCUUACCAAGGCAACGAUGCAUAGCCGACCUGAGAGGGUGAUCGGCCACACUGGAACUGAGACACGGUCCAGACUCCUACGGGAGGCAGCAGUAGGGAAUCUUCCGCAACGGGCGAAAGCCUGACGGAGCAACGCCGCGUGAGUGAUGAAGGUCUUCGGAUCGUAAAACUCUGUUAUUAGGGAAGAACAUAUGUGUAAGUAACUGUGCACAUCUUGACGGUACCUAAUCAGAAAGCCACGGCUAACUACGUG